CCCCUCCCCCGCCCCGCUGCUUGCUCGUGGGUUGCCAAGGUAACCGUGUGGCAAGGCCACUAGGUCACUGGACCCAGCCUCAUGAGCAUGGUGAUGCCUUCCGCGGGCAACAGGCUGAGUCACCUCCAGAGGCCCUGGGGCUGCGGUGGCCACGGGGAGAGGGGGCUUUGUGGUGUCGGUCCCCGCUGCCCACUGCCUGGGCCUCUCCACAUGCACCGUGUGCCCUUCUGCUCUGCUGCCUUAGGAUGCAGUGGAGACCCUCAGCAGGGCCGGCUCCUGGCUUGGGACCUUGCACCCUUCAGAACUGUGAGCCCAAUGAGCCUCUCCUCUUCUGGAUCACCCAGGCCCCAGGCAGAAUUUAAGGAGCAACACAAAAUGGACUUAGUCCCACUUCACAGGGAGGGAAACUGAGGCUGCCAAGAUCUCAUGACGACCCGAGGUGGCCCUGCAGAGUUGCCCAGGUGGAGCCUGAAGGAGCACCGUUGGGUUUCGCUCUUGCCUCUGUUGGUGGUCUUCUCGUUUCUGCUAAACCAGAUGGUGAGUUCCCUGAAGAGAGAUCGUCACCGUGUUCCCCAGGGCCUGGCCCUAGGUCUGGCACCUGGGAAAACCGGUGAUGGGGAAAUGAAUGCAUGGCGGGUGGAUGGGGAGAGGGAGGGGGAGAGGGAUGCUGUAGAGGACGGAGGGGUGGUGGGUGGAGGGGGAUGGUGGGGGGAUGGAUGGUAGAUGGUAGAUGGAAGGAAAGAUGGGUGGGGAGGUGGAUGGUGGGUGGAUUGAUAGAUGGAUGGUGGGCGGGUGGUGGAUGGAAGGGUGGUGGCUGGAUGGUGGGUAGAUGAUGGAUGGUGGGUGGAUGGAUGAUGGGUUGGUAGUGGAUGGUGGGUGGGUGGUAGAUGGAUAGAUGGAUGGUGGAUGGUGGGUGGGUGGAUGGAUAGUAGGUGGAUGGAUAGAUGGAUGGUGGAUGGUGGAUGGGUAGUGGAUGGAUAGUGGGUGGGUGGAUGGUGGAUGAUGGAUGGAUAGAUGGAUGGUGGGUGGAUGGUGGAUGGUGGAUGGUGGGUGGGUGGUGGAUGGAAGGGUGGUGGAUGGUGGGUGGUGGAUGGAAGGGUGGUGGAUGGUGGGACAUGGAUGAGAGGAGGAGUAGAGUGCAGGUGUGUCGUGAGCAGGUGACUGAAUACAUAGGAAGAACUAAUCAAGGCUGGGCUGGGGCUCAGUGGCAGAGUGCUCACCUCGCCUGCGUGAGGCCCUGGGUUCGAUCCUCAGCACCACGUAAAAAUAAAUAAAUAAAGUCAUUGUGUCCAUCUACAACUAAGAAAAAAGUUCACACACACCAAAAAGGAACUAAUCAAAUGACGUGAACUUCCCAGGGCCAAGGUGCCCGUUCCUGGACGUUGGAUGUGUCCUUCGGCGUGGGCACCUCCAGACAGGUUUGACUCCAGACAGGUUUUAUUUGGGUUUAAAUUUUUUGAAACAAGUUGUUACCAUUUAAAAAUUGGGGCUUUCACAUUUAAAAAUCUAUUAAAAAAAAAAUCUGUGGGGACUGGGGCCAGGGCUCAGCGGUGGAGCUCGGCUCGCACGUGCGAGGCCUGGGUUCGAUCCUCAGCACCACGUAAAAUUAAAUAAAGUGAAGGCCUCGUGUCCUGCACCAGACCUCGCUCCACAGCAGGGAAAUGGAAAGGCGCAGAGAGACGACGGGAGGGGACUUCUUUAUGAGGGGGGACAUCUCUGUGGCUCUGGGCAUGAGCAGCCCCUCCUGGGGGCAGGGGGAUGUGGUGCUCACAGGCACAGACCCAAGGUCUGCCCAGGCCCCGCUGUGGCACCCUGUGGCCCUGUGCCCUGCGCAAGGCGCUGGCUCCCCCUGGGCUUGGCCCUCCUCAUCUGUGGAGAGGAGGUGCCCGUGCCCCCUGGCGGGUGCCAGUCUGCUCCCAUGGGAUGCUCUCCGUGUGAGCUGCCAUUGUCUUGGGCAGGGCUGGACUCUGUCACCUACUUGCCGUCUGUGGUGGCUGAGGGCAGCCAUCCCCAGUGGAGGGCAAUUGUGCCCCAACCCAGGGGCAUGUGGCAAUGUCCAGAGACGUCUUGGGUUGUCACCAUUUUACUGGGGAGAGGCCACCAACACCUAAUGGGUAGAGGCCAAAAACUGUGGGGAGCCACACUGAGUGACCACGCCCUCCAGUCCUGAUGCGCCAGGGGAUCUGGAAAGAUCUCUGGAGCUUGGCGCGGCAGUGCCAUGGCUCCAGACUUGGUCUUUGCCCCACUCGAGUGGCAAGGCCAGCCUUCUGAGAGGCAUUCCCCUGGUUGAGCUCCACUCACCUGUUCUUUUGUAAUCCUACCCCUUUGCCCUGUUUGGGAUAGAAUGUUCCCCGGAAAUUCCCUUUGUGUGUCCCCUUCUCUUGCUCUGCCCUUGGGUGUGGCCUUCCUAGCUGUCAGUCAACCUGCCGACAGCAGACAUAAUGAAGCCAGACUCAACCCCCCCAAACCUGACCCCUGGCCUGAUUUGAAUGGCUUCUCCCCAAUAAAAGGGCCUCUCUCUCUCUCUCUCUCUCUCUCUCUCUCUCUCUGCCUCUCCAGGGAGGCAGAGGCUGAAGAGGCUGCCCCAGGUGUGAUAAGACUCUGGCCCUGAGCCAGCCCAGCCCCUGGAUCUCAGGCCCAGGAUAAUCCCAGCCCAGGGUGCCUGGACCCAGCUGGUUCCCAGCCCAAACACCAGGCAGGAAUGCAUCCCUGGCGCCCCCCAGUGGCCUGGACCCUGAGCUAUAUGAUACGCCCACCUGGAGUGGAGGAGGGGGCCCUCCCAGGGCCUUUCUUCCAGCCAAUUGGCAGAGGAUGUGGAAGCAGCAGAAGUUGAGAAGACCAAUUGAUGUGAACUUGAUCUCAGCUCUUCCACCAGCUCUCUGGGAGACCUUGGACAAAUGCCAUGACUCCUCUGCCUGUUCCUUCAUCUGCAAAGUGGGACAUGUUCCCGACUGCACAGUGCUGCUGGGAGUUGAUUAAGUGAGGGUUAGAUGGCGCACCUGGGCCGCGUCCCAGUCCUCCCUCCGAGGCGUGCUGUUGCUGCCUUCAUGUCAAACCCAGAGCUGUUUGCAUCUGAUGAACUUCCAACGUGCCCCAAAAGAUUUUUAAAUAAUGGCAAAAUACACAAUUUUGUUGCAAAGCCACCAUUACAGAUGUGGAAAGAGAGCCACAUAAAAUAACCGCUGGCCUCGGAAAUACUGUGCGUAAGGGAUAUCACUUUUGUUUGAGGUGUUUAACAGUGUGCGUUCACAAUACAUAAGAGAGACAAAGACCUCACUUUCCCAGUAUGUAAAGAGCUCCUGCAGAUCAAUACAAAGGUGAUCAUCCAAUAGAAAAGGAACGGUGAUUGGCCACCAGAAAAACGACACAAAUGGCCUUUGAGUAUGUUUUAAAUUCCAAACCCUAACAUAGAAAGGAAACCCCCCACCCCACCCCCCAGGCUGGAACAGAAGCCUUCUCUAUUGGCAAGGCCAAGUCCACAAGUCUGAGGAUCCGGGGCCGUGGUUAGAAUGAGGAGGAAGCAGGCUCACAUAGGUUGGGUCCCCCUUAGACAGCACUUAGACGCUCAUUGUCAAAGUUCAAAAAUGCACCUGGGCAGUUCCAUGGCUAGGAAUUUGUCCUGCAGAAAUAACAGACCCAGGACCCAUUCUGGGGGAAGGACGCUGACCACUGCAUUGCUCCCUACAGCAAGCCUGAAACUACCCCGGGGACCAUCACCCGGAAGCUGGGUGGGACGCCGCUACAUCCAGACGGUGGACUUCGUGAAGAGCGCUCUCGAGGCUGAUCUGGAAAGAGCCCCCCCUCCAAGUACGUGGUCAGUGGGUAAAGGAGUGAGUGGAACCCGGCCCUGGGCAGGGGUGGAGCGGCUGCUGUUUGGAGAAGGCCGCGGGGGAGCUGGGCCCCCGGCUUCUCUGCAUUCUGGAUCUCCGUGGGGAUCCCCAAGAAGUGGUGACCCGCGUGGCGGCUGGGCGGGGACAGGGAGAGGCAAGGAUUGGAGGGAAAACAUCCACCAUAAAUCUCCAGGAACCUUUUGAACUGUUUAAAGUGUGAGCACAGUUUCCCAUUAAGUAUUUGGGAGGUUUUUAAAGCCUUGAUAGAUGGAGGAAAGAAACUCCAGGUGGGACCUUCUUCCAGGGCGGGGUGACGCUUCUCUCUGGGUGACUUAUUUUCUUCUUUUUACUUAAACCGAUUUUCUAAUUAAAAAAUAAUAAUUCUCAAAAUAAAUUGAGGCCAAAAAAAAAUUUUUUUAAAUUUUAUUUAAAAGCAAGACCUGGGCGUUUUCUUGGCAGUCAGAGGAAAAACCAACUCUGUUAAUCAAUUAAAACAAAACAAAACAAAAACUUCCUAAAUGGUCAGAUUGCUGUCAUGGCCAAGAACAUUCAUUAGCGAGUGGUCAGGUAGUUGGAAAUCUGUUCUGUGGACACUGCGACGUCGUACGCUGUCCACCGCGCACCUGCUAGGCAGGAUCCCAUCGUCUACCUCUCUGCGGUGAAAUCCUGACCUGCCACUUAUUACUGGGGCACACUAAGCCACCCCAACUCUCUCCGCCUCGGUUUCCUCCUCUGCAACACGAGGAGGCCAUACAGCUGACAGCAGGAGCCUGUCCAGCGCUUAGCUCCAGGUAUCCGCAGAGAGGGGCUCCGUCCAAGCAGGGAACCGGCAGGAAUUCUGCACCAGGAGGACCCCGAGGAGGAAGGCCAGGAUGGGGCCCUUCGCCUCUCCCGGGAUCAGUGCGCAGAGUCCCGCACACCACCCGGCUCAGCGCCGCGCUCCUCCGACAGUUUGGAGAGAGUGACACCAAGUGGUCAUGUCUGGAGCUGAGUCCCCCGGCCUCCAGCCCUGGCCUUGAGCAAACGUGAAUCCUAGGUUUUCUGGGCUGUAAAGCGGAGGCGACGCUGCCCACCGGGCAGAGCCGAGGGGAGGAGGAAGCCCCGAAACCCGCGGAAAUCCGCUCGCGGGCCGCUGUGCCGCACGACUGCAGGGGCUUCGCUGGUGGCAUUGCGCAAAGCAGCGCCCCUCAGCACGUGGCUGCCCUUAGCGUUUCGCCCUCAGACCCCCGAUUGCCUUCCCCCACCUCCCCCAGCGUGAUGGUCAAGCAAAGUCUCCCCAAGAGCCCAGAGCGCGCGUGGGGCACCGCGGGCCAAGGCCACUCCUCUGCACCCCCCGGAGGACAUCUGGGCCACAGUCUCCACGGGACUCCAGCGAAUCUUGCGCCUUCCUUACACUUACCGGUGCCCCUUCUUAAUUACUAGAGCAAGCUGCAGGCUCGGAGUCCCCAGAAGGCAAGAUUAGGCUGGACUUACUGAAUUACAUGUUCUCGCAAUGUUUACGUUUUGCGGUCAGGUGCUGAUGGCCUUCCCUCCCAGUAGACGUGGUGGAUUGCGUUACUGUCAAAGUCUUCCUUUUAUUGGCUGUUCCCCGACGACCCUCCCUGCUGGAGUCAGGCCUGGCUGUGACCUCCUUUGGCCGAUCCGUGUGAGCUAAGCUCCCUAGGAGAAGCCUCCGGAGCCAUCCCUGGGUCUCCAUUUGAUCUCUUCUCUCUGCUGGGACAGCGGCCUACCCCAGGGGCGCCCGCACCUCCAACAGGGACCUGAGCAAAGGAGGCCCCCGGACCAGAGCUGCAGCCAGCCCCCACCAACGAGUCCUCUGAAUGACAAACUCGCCUUGCGGGAGCACCUCCGGGGAAUCCGAGUUUUACUGCAGCGACGCCUAGCCCCGGUGGACUGACGCACUGGACACAAAGUUUCCUUUAAAAAUGAAUGUAC
Molecule: long non-coding RNA, 5765 nt
Filed under: Marmota monax (woodchuck)
Lineage: Eukaryota; Metazoa; Chordata; Mammalia; Rodentia; Sciuridae
Source: RNAcentral